CCUACGGGUGGCAGCAGUGAGGAAUAUUGGUCAAUGGACGAAAGUCUGAACCAGCCAUGCAGCGUGCAGGAUGACGGCCCUAUGAGUUGUAAACUUCUUUUGUAUAAGGAUAAACUUCAAUAUGUGUAUUGAGUUGUAAGUACCAUAUGAAUAAGGAUCGGCUAACUCCGUGCCAGCAGCCGCGGUAAUACGGAGGAUCCGAGCGUUAUCCGGAUUUAUUGGGUUUAAAGGGUGCGUAGGCGGACGGUUAAGUUAGUGGUGAAAGGUUGAGGCUUAACUGGGGAAUUGCAGCUGAUACUGGUUGUCUAGAGAGUAGAUGCGGUAGGCGGAAUGUGUGGUGUAGCGGUGAAAUGCUUAGAGAUCAUGCAGAACUCCGAUUGCGAAGGCAGCUUACUGGUCUAUAUCUGACGUUGAGGCUCGAAAGUGUGGGUAUCAAACAGGAUUAGAUACCCUAGUAGUC
This 460-nucleotide ribosomal RNA is filed under the name uncultured bacterium. Its description in RNAcentral is "partial 16S ribosomal RNA". It matches the Rfam family "Bacterial small subunit ribosomal RNA", at positions 338 to 795 of the family's 1533-position model. The record is from RNAcentral.